CCCUUAGAUGUUCUGGGCCGCACGCGCGCUACACUGAUGCAUUCAACGAGUUCUUCCUGGUCCGAGAGGAAUGGGUAACCUUUUGAAAGUGCAUCGUGCUAGGGAUAGACUAUUGCAAUUAUUGGUCUUCAACGAGGAAUUCCUAGUAGACGUAGUUCAUCAGACUGCAUCGAUUACGUCCCUGCCCUUUGUACACACCGCCCGUCGCUCCUACCGAUUGGAUGAUCCGGUGAGCUAUUCGGACCUGUGCAUUUUCCAUUGGAACUUGCGUGGGAAAGUCUCGCGAACCUUAUCAUUUAGAGGAAGGAGAAGUCGUAACA
RNAcentral lists this ribosomal RNA (320 nucleotides) under uncultured eukaryote. RNAcentral's name for it is "partial 18S ribosomal RNA". It matches the Rfam family "Eukaryotic small subunit ribosomal RNA", at positions 1470 to 1796 of the family's 1831-position model. The record is from RNAcentral.